CUAUAACAACAACAUAGACGGAAUGUGCAGAAGUCUUGUUUGUUAGAGAAAAGUUACGAAAAGAAGGUAAACUUUGAAAGUACGAUUGCUGUCACAGUGUCGGAAUGAAUGACCCGACUUGACCCAGAUAUGAGACAGCCGAAACCAGGAAUGACAAGAGAACCGGUUACAGUUUAAUCCGGACAAGUUUAAUUAACAUCGUGUGUGCAUGUGGGAUUUCAGGAGGAUUUGUCAAACGCGGAGUGGACACAGUCAGAUUACGGGAGUUUGUUGAUAUUUUGAUGUGAUUCAUAAUGGUCGAAUACCUGUUGAUAGACAAACACGGUAUCUGGAGACUUGGUGCUAAGCUGUCCGCAUUCACGGAGUUCAUUUAGUUCAAUAUCGGACACAGGAUCAGCUCGCUGGGUUAUCGAUGUCAUCAUCGUUCACAAAGGCAAACCUGUCUAUACAAAGUCCGGUUUUUGGGUUCGGGUGGUCGAAAAAUUCAUCAAACAGCAAGCCCUCUAACACAGACGCAAACCAUGACUUGGUGGUGAUGAUCUUGGCGCCCUAGAAACAGUUUCUGGCAACAUCACAAUCUGAAUCUUGGAACUUCAAUCUGGCCAUAUGCAGUUUUGACAACAAAGACAUUAAAUGUGUUCAGAGGUUGAAAAAUAACUUUUCAUGUCAGUCAGAUCUCCGUCCGCUUUAACGAGGUCAUUUACUUUGACAGGUCUCAAAUGGCCAGCCAUGUUUGUUAACAAACGGGGACGUAGUUUUGGUUUUUACUGUAAAAUGAAAAUCAUGUGAAAUAAAUGAAAAAAAUGAUAA
Long non-coding RNA from Haliotis rufescens (red abalone), 810 nucleotides. RefSeq lists it as uncharacterized. Lineage: Eukaryota; Metazoa; Mollusca; Gastropoda; Lepetellida; Haliotidae. The transcript has 2 exons. The record is from RefSeq and is a predicted model, not a curated record.